Long non-coding RNA from Canis lupus familiaris (dog), 1225 nucleotides. RefSeq lists it as uncharacterized. The record is from RefSeq and is a predicted model, not a curated record. NCBI's taxonomy places the organism in Eukaryota, Metazoa, Chordata, Mammalia, Carnivora, Canidae. The transcript is spliced from 2 exons.
UCCAAGCUGGGCCUGACUCUCCUUUAGAGAUGUCUUCGCCCACUUCUGAAGCAACCUAAGGGUUGGGAAACUACCCGAGCCUUAGGAAAACCUAAGGCAGCAGAGCUGGGAAAUUAGAAUAUUCUCUGCCGCUCUUCCUCUUAUGGCUAUGAUUGCUGGCGCCUCUAAUAGCCAUUUUGACCACGAGGCAACCUUGAAGAUGGAAACCACAAUGCUAAAGGUGAUGGAACGUAAAGAUAGUAGGAGGCUGACACCGUGACUCUUCUAUGGAUCCUGGACUACCUCACUCUGGAUUUCUUUCACACGAAGAGGAGAAAACCUUAUGCCAUCACUGCUAAUUUCCAGACCCUACUACUAGCAGUCACAUAUAAUUCCUAAUGGAUACAGAUGACUUCCCCAACCCAUGAGUAGUGCUCUUGUUUCUUUGCAGUUAGCUCCUGGAAAUUCUGUCUAUUGGUCCACACUGAUUCACAAGCCCCUGCAAGAGCAAAGUUGGACUCCGCUUCUGCUAAUGAGCAGAGGAAUCACCUGUGAAUACAAUGCUGGGAUUAUAAGGUGCUGGCAGUCAUGUCAGAAUAAUAAGGUCAGAUGGAAAAUCAUCCUAGUAAAUAUCUUCAGUGAAUAUCCUGUCCCACCCUGGUGCCCUCCAGAUACCAUAGCCUGGAUCCACAGCUCAUGUGGUGGCAUUGCCAUCACUUCCCCAGAGCCUAUCAUUUGUGUCCGCGGGGAGGAUGAUGAGGGUCCUGGGUACCGCUCCAAAGUUUUCUCUGCGUAUUCAGCAGGGGCCCUUGAUUUGUUCUGACUUGUAACUGAAAUCCUUGUUUGUUUGAGUUUCUUUUCCCUAGCAAGUUCAUCUAUAAUCUCAAAGAUGUCGCUGUAGUUUGCUUUGCUAAUCUCAACCUUUGGCUGAGUGACAUGUUGUCCUCGAAGAGGCUCAGAGACACGCGGACACUCCCUCGAUGCACUGUGUCUCUCUAUUAUGGGAUUUUCCUUUUGACUGUUUGCCUGGGCCCCGUAGCGCGGCCCUCACCUUUCACAUAGUUUUAAGUCUGAGUUUCAGGGGAAGAUUUCAGAAAGAUCUCUGUAAUCCCCUAACUCGUUCUCAUCACAGAGAUAGUUCAUUUUUCAGUGAUAUUUUGGAGCAUUCCUAGAGCUAAAAAAAAAAAAAAAAAAAAAAUCCCGGGAAAAUUUAAGGCAGCAGAGCUGGGAAAGCAGAAUAUUUUCU